This 243-nucleotide long non-coding RNA is filed under the name Nicotiana benthamiana. RNAcentral's name for it is "long non-coding RNA (NBEN_LNC006488)". The record is from RNAcentral. Lineage: Eukaryota; Viridiplantae; Streptophyta; Magnoliopsida; Solanales; Solanaceae.
AUUCUUUACUUCCAUAGCUGCUUUGCCUCUAUCCUCUGCAACAUCCACCUGCUCACCACUUUUAGUAGUGAUAUCUGUCAAUUGCUUUUCAUUUGUCUGCUGUUCAUGAUGCUGCAUACUUUCUAUCCCCUGCAACAUACUACCUUGCUCCUUUUGCAUAGCACUUUGUACUUCAAUUGGCACACUUGCCUCCUGUUCAAUCUCCUGAUCUGCUGGCUUUUGAACUGCUUCAGUUGGCACANN